This is a long non-coding RNA of Pogoniulus pusillus (Red-fronted tinkerbird), 205 nucleotides long. RefSeq lists it as uncharacterized. The transcript is spliced from 3 exons. The record is from RefSeq and is a predicted model, not a curated record. Lineage: Eukaryota; Metazoa; Chordata; Aves; Piciformes; Lybiidae.
GGCAGCUCUUCUAGUGAUCUCCAAGCCAUGUCCAGGAGAAGCUCAGAGGACAGCUCACCAGGAGGGCUCCAGGCUUCAGCCUCCCAGAGGAAUCUCUCAGGAGAUGUGGGCAGCAGAGAAAGCUUCACAAUCCAAGUGGGAGAGGCUGAAACGUUCCUUUUCGUGGCAAACAGGAACCACCCGCACUGAUUCCCAGCGCUGAAGC